GAUGAAGAACGUAGCGAAAUGUGAUAAGUAAUGUGAAUUGCAGAAUUCAGUGAAUCAUCGAAUCUUUGAACGCACAUUGCGCCCGGCAGUACUCUGCCGGGCAUGCCUGUUCGAGCGUCAUUUCAACCCUCAAGCCCUGCUUGGUGUUGGGGUCCCACGGCCGCCGUGGGCCCUGAAAGGAAGUGGCGGGCUCGCUACAACUCCGAGCGUAGUAAUUCAUUAUCUCGCUUAGGGCGUUGGGCGGCGCUCCUGCCGUUAAAGAACCAUCUUUAACUCAAGGUUGACCUCGGAUCAGGUAGGAAUACCCGCUGAACUUAAGCAUAUCAAUAAGCGGAGGA
RNAcentral lists this unclassified non-coding RNA (338 nucleotides) under soil metagenome. RNAcentral describes it as "partial contains 5.8S ribosomal RNA, internal transcribed spacer 2, and large subunit ribosomal RNA". The stretch from base 1 to 120 matches the Rfam family "5.8S ribosomal RNA", at positions 35 to 154 of the family's 154-position model. The record is from RNAcentral.